UACGUAGGGUGCCAGCGUUGUUCGGAAUUACUGGGCGUAAAGGGUUCGUAGGCGGUGUGGCAAGUCGGGAGUGAAAUCUCUGGGCUCAACUCAGAGACUGCUUCCGAAACUGCUGUGCUGGAGUGAGGGAGAGGCGCGUGGAAUUGCAGGUGUAGCGGUGAAAUGCGUAGAUAUCUGCAGGAACACCCGUGGCGAAAGCGGCGCGCUGGACCACUACUGACGCUGAGGAACGAAAGCUAGGGGAGCAAACAGG
RNAcentral lists this ribosomal RNA (253 nucleotides) under uncultured bacterium. RNAcentral describes it as "partial 16S ribosomal RNA". It matches the Rfam family "Bacterial small subunit ribosomal RNA", at positions 524 to 776 of the family's 1533-position model. The record is from RNAcentral.